RNAcentral lists this ribosomal RNA (436 nucleotides) under uncultured bacterium. RNAcentral describes it as "bacterial SSU rRNA". It matches the Rfam family "Bacterial small subunit ribosomal RNA", at positions 28 to 313 of the family's 1533-position model. The record is from RNAcentral.
GAUGAACGCUGGCGGCGUGCCUAAUACAUGCAAGUCGAGCGGAAACGGGUUCCUCACUGUGGUUCGGAACCAUUUGUCAUUUAACAUUGACCAUUUCACAUUAAUUGCACAUUUAACAUUGACCAUGAACGCUCAAUAGAGCCAAAUGAAAAAUGCUAUCUGAUAAAUUAAUGAAAAUGUAAAUUGAAAAAUGAUACAUGGUUAUUCCGAGCUAGAGUGAGGAAUGACGUCGAGCGGCGGACGGCUGAGUAACGCGUAGGAACGUACCCCAAAGUGAGGGAUAAGCACCGGAAACGGUGUCUAAUACCGCAUGUGCUCUCAGGAGUAAAGCUUCAGGCGCUUUGGGAACGGCCUGCGUCCGAUUAGCUUGUUGGUGAGGUAAAAGCUUACCAAGGCGACGAGUCGGUAGCUGGUCUGAGAGGAUGAUCAGCCAGAC